RNAcentral lists this transfer RNA (64 nucleotides) under Tuxedo nicholi. RNAcentral's name for it is "tRNA-Asn". The record is from RNAcentral. Lineage: Eukaryota; Metazoa; Arthropoda; Insecta; Hemiptera; Miridae.
UUAGUCAAAGCCAAAAAGAGGCAUUUCAUUGUUAAUGAAAAAAAUGGGCGCCGCCCUGGCUAAA